UGAGCCAAUUUGCAGUUUUCCAUCAAGGCUUGCUCCGCCCCUUUUCCACCUCUUGGCUCCUCAAUCAAGGGAUUGGAGCAGCUACAACUAAGCAUUCAUCCUGAACUUGAAAAGACUGCAGAAUUACAAACAGUAAUAGAAAAAACCCAUAAGAAGAUAGUAAUGGACAAAAAGCAGACAUCUGCAGCUCUUCUGUGCUUGGCUAAAAGCUAAAUACAUAAAUCUCCAUACUCUGGCAGGUCAGCACCAUGAUGUCAGAAGCUUUCUACAGGGAUGUGCGUGCCAAAGGGGAGAGAGAAGACAUGAAGUAAGGCAUGCUAAGAAAGAGACAGAAAAGGACAGAGGGAUGAUGGAUAUUUCACGGAGUCCCAUCCUACAUUCUGCAUCCUGGAUUUGACCUAAAAGCUGGACUUGCUUUUGAGUCACAUCUGUUUUUUGUUUUCUCUUACAAAGCAGAAUAAUAAAAACAGGGCAACUAAGAGCUGUUUCCCUGCAGUCCCAUUGUCAGGGAGAAGUCACAUCAGUAAAGAUGGGUGGGAUAUUCCCAUGCUCUGUGCUGUAAGGAAAUCUUUAGCUGGAUGUUCUGACAUAUUUACAUUUAUGAAAAUCAAAUAGUAAGCUCUUUGUCAAUUCAAAACUCCAGAAUUUUCACUUUCGUGUCACAAUUUUGCCUCUUGGGGAUCUGUCUCAUCAGAAUAGUGCUUUUAUUCUCAGAAUUCUUUGUUCUCAGAAUUCCAGGUUUACCCAAGACGUAUCACUUUUUUCCUCAUAAUCAUUACUUUAUUCUCAGAAUUUUGACUCACGGAAUUCACACUAUAAUUUGGGAAUUCUGAUUUUCAUCUCAGCACUCUCACCAUGUUCUCAGAGUUCUGGUUUUUACCUCAAAUUUUUUACUUUCUUGCCGGAAACUUGCCUCUUAGAGUUCACUCUGUCUCAUCAGAAUAAUGUAUUCUCAAUUUGUUCUCAGAAUUCCAGCUUUUACCAAAGAAUUCUCACAACCUGUGAAAUUCUCACUUUUAUCUCAAAGUCUAAUGUUCAUUUGAGAAUUGUCACAUGGUUCUCACAAAUCUAUUCUGUCAAUUCUAUGUGUCAACAUUCCAAGAACAAUCUGACAGUUCUGAGAACAAAGAGAAUUCUUACUGUCUCAUCAGAAUACUGAUUUUUACCUCAGAAUUGUAAGAGGCAAAAUUCUGACAGGAAAGUGAAAAUUCUGAGGUAAAGUCCAUAAUUCGAAGAACUGGGAAAGAAUUCUAAAAUCGAAUUCAGAAUUUUGGGUUAAAAGUAAGCAUUCUGUGUCAAGAUUCCAAGAACAAUUUUAGAAUUGUUCAAAACUUGGGUCUUAUUAAGGUUAUCUCUCUGCCCGAAAUGCUUUCCAGUCAUGGUCAAAAUUUAGAUGCUGAAAUAGAACCACCAGGAACUUCUGAAACUCAACAUAUUGUUCUUGACUAUGUUAGCAGUCUUCGGGAAAGCCUCCACCUUGCAAGUCAGUUAGCUAGGGAAAAUUUGAUGCAUGCCCAGACUAAGAUGAAGGCUCGUUAUGAUUACAAAAACUGUUAGAAGUUUUGAGCCAGGAGACAAAGUGUUGGUGUUGUUACCUGUGGUAGGAUCCAACUUGCUAGCCCAGUUUGCUGGCCCAUACUCAGUGGAACAGAAUCUCAGUGACAAAUUAUGUGAUCCAAACCCCAGACCGACGGGGAAAGUCUAGGGUUUGCCACAUUAACAUGUUGGAAUCGUAUCACUCGAGAAACCACUUGGUUGAGCCAGCCCCGGUAUACACUGCUAGUGUCAUUUCUCCCUAUGAACCCUCCGAUGAUGGACUGCUGGACAAAUCUGCUGUGCUGGGUAGCGGCUGCUUGAAAAAUUCUGAGAUCUUAAAUGAUCUAGAGACAUUUUUGGCCCACUUAUUAAAAGGAAGUCAGCUAUCUUAUAGAACAGGGGAAGGCAACUCCCAGCCUCAAGGGCCGGUAUCCUGCCGGUUUUAGACCCUGGGUCAACACACCUGAAUGAAUGAUUAGUUUAUUAUCAGGCCUCUAGAGAACUUCAAGACAUGUUUAGGAGGUGAUUUAGCAAUUUGAAUCAGCUCUGUAGGUUCAAGGAUACAUCAAAAACCGGCAGAACACUGGCACUUGAGGCCUGGAGUUGCCUACCCCUGUUAUUGAACACUGUUUAGCUGUUCCAAGCACCAGUGCAUGGAGUUCACUGUGUGUGUAGGUACCAAAAUCCGACAAUACCUUUCCUUUCCAGUCAC
Molecule: long non-coding RNA, 2248 nt
Organism: Oreochromis niloticus (Nile tilapia)
Lineage: Eukaryota; Metazoa; Chordata; Actinopteri; Cichliformes; Cichlidae
Exons: 5
Source: RefSeq, a predicted model, not a curated record